GUCUCAUUGGUCUAGUUGGUUAUGACGUCGGUCUCAUAUUCUAUCAUAUGAUGUACUCACAGAGUGCGGUUAUCCGAAGGCCGCCAGUUCGACUCUGGCAUGGGACA
Pseudovirgaria hyperparasitica is the source of this 107-nucleotide non-coding RNA. The record is from the annotation of a RefSeq genome assembly. NCBI's taxonomy places the organism in Eukaryota, Fungi, Ascomycota, Dothideomycetes, Acrospermales, Acrospermaceae.